Molecule: ribosomal RNA, 500 nt
Filed under: uncultured Glomeromycotina
Lineage: Eukaryota; Fungi; Glomeromycota
Description: partial small subunit ribosomal RNA
Rfam family: Eukaryotic small subunit ribosomal RNA
Source: RNAcentral
CCAAUAGCGUAUAUUAAAGUUGUUGCAGUUAAAAAGCUCGUAGUUGAAUUUCGGGGUCAGUAGGUCGGUCGUGCCACUGGUAUGAACUGGUUUUACUGAUUCCUCCCUCUUGAAGAACUGUAAUGCCAUUAAUUUGGUGUUGCAGGGAAUCAGGACUGUUACUUUGAAAAAAUUAGAGUGUUUAAAGCAGGCUUUAGCUUGAAUACAUUAGCAUGGAAUAAUGAAAUAGGACGUUUGAUCCUAUUUUGUUGGUUUCUAGGAUUGACGUAAUGAUUAAUAGGGAUAGUUGGGGGCAUUAGUAUUCAAUUGUCAGAGGUGAAAUUCUUGGAUUUAUUGAAGACUAACUACUGCGAAAGCAUUUGCCAAGGAUGUUUUCAUUAAUCAAGAACGAAAGUUAGGGGAUCGAAGACGAUCAGAUACCGUCGUAGUCUUAACCAUAAACUAUGCCGACUAGGGAUCGGAUGAUGUUAAUUUUUUAAUGACUCAUUCGGCGCCUUACA